AAGGAUACAUACUGGGACAUCAUCUGCGUACAAGCGUCAGAAGAGGAUGCAAAACCGCUCCAGACUGCCUUGGGUGGGGGGAAGUGAAAGGUGAGACCACAGCAGCCGAGGACUGCGAUGCUCACCGUGCUGCUCACUGCCGUACGGCUGAGGAGCUGGAAGUCCCGAGAGGGAUGCCCGGCUGCCAUGCCCGCAGGCACUGCGGCCGCCGCGUCGCAGCAGCUCUGAGCUUCUCCCCCGCGGGCUGAGCUGCGACCACUGCAGUGCUCAGGCCCCAAAUAGAGGAAAAGUCCAGUGCUGCCUCAUCUGUUUGAAUGGUUAAGCCUUCAUCCCCUACUUUGACUUUCAGGCUGGAAACAGUAUAUAAAGGCAACAGAUAGGUGAAUCUGAACCCAGGAAAACUGAAAUCUUUCCCCUUCUCCGUACAUCAGAGGUCUCCUAGACUUGUCUGAUCACAAACAGCUUUCAAAGAAUUCCACUGUUACUUUAACUGCAUCUGCCGUCUGGAUUAAAAGCUUCCAUCUCAGCAACCUCUGAAUGGCGACAGGUUUGCAACAGCUGAUCAUUUUGAUUGAACCCUGUGUCUCCAGAAUUCAGUUUGCACAAAUACACAGUGUGCGCAAUUGCACUGACUGCCGCCCUCCAUAGUCCGCCCACUGAAUAAACACUAGUCUGUGACUCACAAAAGCACUCUGGUCUCCGACUGCUUUUCUGGUUCCACAUGUCAUUUCAGAAGGACAACAGCUGUUACGGGUGGAAAUAACGAAAGACUGCUUCUAAGGAGACAUUUCCAUUGCUGCUGAAGGACAUAAGCUUCAUCACUUCCAGUGCUCAAAAUCACAACUGCUGUUACCUUAAAGAUAAGCACAGACUGAAGAAGAAUCUGUUGCUUCCAGAUGUCAGGAUCCCUCACAGGACUUGCCGAUUCCCAGCUUGCACCAUUAAGAAGCCCUCAUGUUGGAGUCAUUAGAGAGUACCACCAAGCAAGAGAGCCAAUAUCAAAGUAAAUUUCUAUUUGCUGUGCACUGGCAAAAGCAGCAAGGAUUCUGGUUACUUAAGUCUUGUUUGGGUCCCGCAGGAAAGCGAAAUGCAACACAUGAAGAACAGGGAGCUAACGUACCAUCACUCUCUCCGACCGUCUCUCGUCUCAGGUAACAUGCAAGACAUCAGCUCUCCCUGCUCUGUAAUCCGGGCUGCUCCCCAGAAGGCCGUUGUCAAACUACAAAUCAUUUACCGUGCCAAGUCUCGCCAGCAGGGAGCAUGCAGUAUUUAGGAAACCUAUCAGGAAACCUAAGCAAAGUAUCAAAUAAAAGACGAAUGAUGUAUUUUUAUCUCUCCCAUUCCACUUCAAAGCAAGCACCACUGAGUCAUUUUCCAAUUUAGAGCACACCGAAUGUGGCCUCCAUAUUUCUGUACGACAAAUACAUCCACCUCCUCUGCUUGGCAAUAGGGGAUACAAGGAGGGCAGUGCCAAAGCCUUUUAGCCCAGUCAGCAGGGGUGAGCCCCAUCUUAUCGAUGCAGCUAUGACAAUGCACAUCUAUGUAUCGCAGGCACUUUAAAGAUGCUGGUCAUCCUGGCCUGCACUCUCCCUGUCAGGUGUGCAUACAAAAUAGGUAUUUUUGAAAUACAUUCACAAAUGUUGUCUGAAGCAGAAUUUUUCUUUGGCUGUCAGAAAAGAGCAGCUGGAAAUGAUCAAUCUCUGUCUCUCUCCACCUUGCCCCAAAUGGUGAGCAUGUCCUCAGGCACAAAUUCACCUUUUCAGACAAAUAUAUUGAAAUGAAAAAAAUAUUUUUGUAAACUUGCUAAAAUGAGAUGCUGGUGGGUUUUCCCGAGAAGAAAGCCCAGGGAGGGGAAAAGGACCCGUUCUUUCUAGGAGUAAAAAACACAAACCAUUUUCAUUAUUCCCUUGUUAAAUGCACAGCAAAGUUUCAGCCCCAUCAAGAAUCAGACGCUCAGUCCUAUGGCCCCAGUACAGUAAAUAUGUGAGCUUAGCUUCGUAUGCAACACACUUCCAAUGGCCUUAGUGGGUAUUCAUAGAUAGCCAAGAUUCAUAUACAUGAGAUUCACAUAUAAAUUCUUGCAGGAAUAAGUGAUGCACCUCUAAGCGGAAGCAUUACCAGUCUGGGAAAAAUGCAUAAGCAAUGAUAAGCACUUAAAAUUAGCCUAGCUCUCAUUCUCCACCAUCCCCUGUCCUUAACACAAGAACCAGUGAAUCAAUCAGUAGGAAAAAAACAAUCAUCUGAAGUGAGUAAAAAAGCUACAUUCAGAAGGCAAUAUUGGCAUGCUACCAAAAGCUCAAGCCUUGAAUGCAAUUUGUAUACAGCUGUGUUUUUCCCAGAGAGGCUCAUUUUUGGCAAGAAGGUGUGUCCUGGAGACACGCUGGUUCUGAGCGCGCAACGCUCCUCGUGCAGGCAGGGUGUGACCGCCGAAGUAUUUUGGUUUGGAUCAGGAGUGUGCUUUUGAAGUGACUCUCCCAGUCAUCCCUGUAGACUCCGCUUUGGUUUUCAGAGUGCUCCCACUGGAUUCCUUUUGGAUGAAACUAGAAACAGAAGAUGCACUCCAGGAGCACACUUAAUGCGCUCAGCUGCUGCUGGGUGUUGAGUCCGUGGGACCAAAGCAGAGGUAGCUCAAAGAAAAUGCUCCGAACACAUCUAGUGUGGACGUGGGGUCCACAGCACUGACAGUUUUGCUUUACAGACACCCUCCUACUGUGUCAAAUGACUCAUGUAAUGUAAAUGUAGCUCCAGAUUAUAGUGUCCUGUAGCAUGAUACCAGAGAUGGAACUGAAGCAGUUCAAUCGUAUAUAGCUUCUCAAUAACCCUGUAGCAUUGACAAGGAGAAUCCAUUAACCUGCUUAUUCUGCAAUAAAAACAGAAGUUACCUAUUUAACAAAUAAAUAUCAUAUGCAAUAUAAUCUAGAAAAAUAAUGAUUCAGAAGAAUGAACAGUUUUUCAAGAUGGAAUUGAUAUUCUAAAAUGUAUUAGCAAGUACCAGAAGAGCCGGUUUCCCAACAGCAUUUAUUUAUGGUUCUUAAAGUUCAAAUGUGUAUGCACAACCUAGGAUAUAAACACAGCACUGACGGCAAAUCCUACAGAAUUUCCUGAGAAUGAAUGCUAACUGUUAUAUAACUGCUAUAUAACUUAUAUAACUUAUAACAACUGCUAAUUUCUGUGUAAUGCUAUUGGAAUUGAUACAACUUCUGCAGAAUGAGGAGGAGAAAUAAAAAUCAAGAUCUUCAAAAGAUUCUGAAUGUAAAAAUGACUGCUUCAUUUAAGCUCUUCCAUGUUACUUAUUAAACACCGAGGUUCAGAGCAAUCGAUGAAGACGACUGUAGCAUCCAGUGCUAAUACUUCCCAGUAGACAAGGCAUGCAUGUACUGAGCCAUAGUUACUGUUCAAGUGCAGUUUCCACCUACCACAGGGGAUAUUCAGCUCACAGCAGCCUUUGCCCUUUAAGCACAUCACAUUAGGUAUUUUCACAGUGAACAAGAUCAUUAACUUUCAGCUUCGUAUGUGACCAGAAACCCGUGAAAAAUUAAAUUAGGUCUUUCAAUUAAAAAACCUAAACACAUACAGUGGGUUAGUCCCAAUAGCAAGGACCUCCAUUUCUUCUCUCUUGCAUAAUGGUAGUUUCUCUUCAUUUCUUCUGAAGAGUCUUGAGGAAGAAAAGGCUGGUUUUAACGGCUAGUUUGGCCGCUGAGUGAACUGCAGGGCCUAACGGUGUUAAAUCCUAUCCAGAGUCAUCUGAGUGCAGCAGCAACACAGUCCUCAGCAAAGUCUGCUCCAAGCAAACUUGGAUGCACUGCUUCACCAGGUUGUUUUGCCCAGACAAAUUGCCCUCAGAAAUUGUAUCUUUUGGAGUAAUUCUGUCAUU
Molecule: long non-coding RNA, 3874 nt
Organism: Dromaius novaehollandiae (emu)
Lineage: Eukaryota; Metazoa; Chordata; Aves; Casuariiformes; Dromaiidae
Exons: 3
Source: RefSeq, a predicted model, not a curated record